CGCGGUGGCGGCGGCUCCUCCUCCAAAAUUUGAGCAGGUACAGGGUGCCAAACAGGAUGUACACGCUGCUUUCCGGGCUGUACAAGUACAUGUUCCAGAAGGAUGAAUACUGCAUCCUGAUCCUGGGCCUGGACAAUGCUGGGAAGACGACCUUCCUGGAACAGUCAAAAACACGAUUUAACAAGAACUACAAGGGAAUGAGUCUAUCCAAAAUCACCACUACCGUGGGUCUAAACAGUAAGGGGGCACCUUAGGGAUAUGAGCUUGGGGGGGUCCCUUAGAAAUGGAUACUGUAAGGUCCACAACUCAACUGACCAGUGGUCAGAACCCCAUCUCUCUAUUCAAGCCCCCUGGGAUUGGUACCAGAAUGUUUUGUCUCAUCCUGGGGAGAGCUGGGACUUUAUGUGUGAAGAGUAAGGUCAGAGGCUAGCUCCUUUUGUCCUCACUGCAUUCAGUGACUGUACCUGCAAGAUUGGCAGGCGAGAUUGUUUGACCCAGGCCUGCUCUGCCCUCACAGGCAAGGGAGUUCGAGAGGGCAUCGAAUGGAUGGUGAAGUGUGUCGUACGGAAUGUUCACCGGCCACCACGGCAGAGGGACAUCACAUAAGCACCUUCAUCCUCACAGUCUUGGACUGUUCAUCCCCUAGUGUUGGAAGAGUAUUCUCUGCUGGCUUCUGUCCUCCUGAUGCUGGGGGUUGAGCUGGGUUUGUCUGUUCAUUUUUAUUUGCUUUAUGUUUUCUCUAAGACAAACUUUUCUCUGUGUCUGG
This 766-nucleotide long non-coding RNA is filed under the name Rattus norvegicus (Norway rat). Its description in RNAcentral is "long non-coding RNA NONRATT020056". The record is from RNAcentral. Lineage: Eukaryota; Metazoa; Chordata; Mammalia; Rodentia; Muridae.